RNAcentral lists this non-coding RNA (45 nucleotides) under Schistosoma mattheei. Lineage: Eukaryota; Metazoa; Platyhelminthes; Trematoda; Strigeidida; Schistosomatidae. The record is from RNAcentral.
AUCCAGCUAACGAGUUCCAAAUGGGACGAAACGCGUGUACUGAAU